This 504-nucleotide ribosomal RNA is filed under the name uncultured bacterium. Its description in RNAcentral is "bacterial SSU rRNA". It matches the Rfam family "Bacterial small subunit ribosomal RNA", at positions 23 to 518 of the family's 1533-position model. The record is from RNAcentral.
CUCAGGAUGAACGCUAGCUACAGGCUUAACACAUGCAAGUCGAGGGGCAGCAUUGGAGUAGCAAUACUCAGAUGGCGACCGGCGCACGGGUGAGUAACACGUAUCCAACCUGCCGCUUACUCGGGGAUAGCCUUUCGAAAGAAAGAUUAAUACCCGAUGGUAUAAAGAGUUCGCAUGUUCUCUUUAUUAAAGAAUUUCGGUAAGCGAUGGGGAUGCGUUCCAUUAGAUAGUUGGCGGGGUAACGGCCCACCAAGUCUACGAUGGAUAGGGGUUCUGAGAGGAAGGUCCCCCACAUUGGAACUGAGACACGGUCCAAACUCCUACGGGAGGCAGCAGUGAGGAAUAUUGGUCAAUGGACGAGAGUCUGAACCAGCCAAAAGUAGCGUGAAGGAUGACUGCCCUAUGGGUUGUAAACUUCUUUUAUAAGGGAAUAAAGUGAGGGACGUGUCCCUUUUUGUAUGUACCUUAUGAAUAAGGAUCGGCUAACUCCGUGCCAGCCGCGGC